RNAcentral lists this long non-coding RNA (437 nucleotides) under Castor canadensis (American beaver). Its description in RNAcentral is "lncRNA (ENSCCNG00000014635.1)". The record is from RNAcentral. Lineage: Eukaryota; Metazoa; Chordata; Mammalia; Rodentia; Castoridae.
UGCCCUCUCCAGGAGGCAGAGGUGAGGCCAAGCCAGUGUGCACUCUUCCUCUGCCGCUCUCCAUGAGGUCCACCGAUGGGACCACUUAAGCCAGAGGGGGAUCUCUCAGGGAUGACAGCAUGAUUCCUGAUAUGGGCAAGGUGCUGGAUACCCACACUUGUUUUAUAACUUCUGGCUAUAAACCUGAGCACCGAUGCUUGACCUAUUGGUUAUGAGGCAGACAUGAAGAAGCUGGGAAGACGGUUUUGGUGAAUUCAGAGAUUUAAAUUUUGUCAAGACACAGUACUUCAUUGGAUAUGGGAUGGACAUCUUUGGAAAUGUGUCACAGGAAUAAGAUGUACCUGGCUUUAAUGCAAUAUUAAAAAAAAGCAGACAAAAUGAAACAAAGUUAAGGCAAAAAUAAUCCACAAUGAACAAAAAAAUUUGAGUAAAAUGGA